This 218-nucleotide ribosomal RNA is filed under the name uncultured bacterium. RNAcentral's name for it is "partial 16S ribosomal RNA". It matches the Rfam family "Bacterial small subunit ribosomal RNA", at positions 127 to 334 of the family's 1533-position model. The record is from RNAcentral.
UACCCCGAAAUCUGGAAUAACCGGCCGAAAGGCUGGCUAAUACUGGAUAGAGCGACGGAAUCCGUAAUGGGUUUUUCGGAAGGAGGGAGCAAUCCCCUUCGUUUCGGGAUGAGCCUGCGUCUCAUUAGCUAGUUGGCGGGGUAAUGGCCCACCAAGGCAUUGAUGAGUAGCUGGUCUGAGAGGAUGAUCAGCCACACUGGAACUGAAACACGGUCCAG